UUCUAGCAUCGACCAGAGUAAUAAACAAAGCCAUGUCCCAUAGAGGGUAUCAUGGUCACACAUGUAAGGUUGGGAUGAUCGACAAAUCUUAAAUCUGAUCCUGUUUCCGGAACAAACACACGAAAAACCUUUGUCGGUACACCACUUAUUCCUCACGUGGUCACAUAUCUCACCACCAUCACCCACGGGCAUUAGGGGCACCCGACGGGGUUUUCGAGAAAGCCUUUGAAAACAUUUCCUUCGUCGUCAACAUGCAUAUUCCCAUACCUUUUUGUGUAGCAACCACUAGCAACUAACUACAUCCCAUAUGCA
Molecule: long non-coding RNA, 312 nt
Filed under: Hordeum vulgare
Lineage: Eukaryota; Viridiplantae; Streptophyta; Magnoliopsida; Poales; Poaceae
Description: long non-coding RNA (HVUL_LNC015782)
Source: RNAcentral